UGGGGAAUAUUGGACAAUGGGCGCAAGCCUGAUCCAGCCAUGCCGCGUGAGUGAUGAAGGCCUUAGGGUUGUAAAGCUCUUUCAGCGGGGAAGAUAAUGACGGUACCCGCAGAAGAAGCGCCGGCUAACUACGUGC
Molecule: ribosomal RNA, 136 nt
Filed under: uncultured bacterium
Lineage: Bacteria
Description: partial 16S ribosomal RNA
Rfam family: Bacterial small subunit ribosomal RNA
Source: RNAcentral